RNAcentral lists this ribosomal RNA (371 nucleotides) under uncultured bacterium. Its description in RNAcentral is "bacterial SSU rRNA". It matches the Rfam family "Bacterial small subunit ribosomal RNA", at positions 525 to 896 of the family's 1533-position model. The record is from RNAcentral.
ACGUAGGGUGCAAGCGUUAAUCGGAAUUACUGGGCGUAAAGCGUGCGCAGGCGGUUUUGUAAGUUUGUCGUGAAAUCCCCGGGCUCAACCUGGGAAUGGCGAUGAAGACUGCAAGGCUAGAGUUUGGCAGAGGGGGGUAGAAUUCCACGUGUAGCAGUGAAAUGCGUAGAGAUGUGGAGGAACACCGAUGGCGAAGGCAGCCCCCUGGGUCAAGACUGACGCUCAUGCACGAAAGCGUGGGGAGCAAACAGGAUUAGAUACCCUGGUAGUCCACGCCCUAAACGAUGUCUACUAGUUGUCGGGUCUUAAUUGACUUGGUAACGCAGCUAACGCGUGAAGUAGACCGCCUGGGGAGUACGGUCGCAAGAUUA